UCAGGGGGCCUGAGGCAGCCGCGUGUGCUUGUCCGUGAAAGCGGGCGGGGGCGCGAGGAAAGUCCGGGCUCCACGAAACAAGGGUGGCGGGUAACGCCCGCCGGCGUCCCGGAAGGGGCGCAAGGGAAAGUGCCACAGAGAGCAAACCGCCGAUGACCCCAUCCGGGGGACAGGCAAGGGUGAAAGGGUGCGGUAAGAGCGCACCGGGGGGCUGGCAACAGCAACCGCAUGGCAAACCCCACCCGGAGCAAGGCCGAAUAGGGGCCGCGCGCCCGUCGCAAGUCGGGUAGGGGAGUUUCGCCCCGAGCGGCCCGGGUUGGCUGCUAGAGCGCCGGAGCAAUCCGGCGAGCAGAUGAAUGGCUGCCACCGCAGGCCCGUCCGCAAGGAUACCGCCUGAGGAGACAGAACCCGGCUUAUGAUGGCCCCCUGAUCUU
This 434-nucleotide RNase P RNA is filed under the name Porphyrobacter sp. IPPAS B-1204. RNAcentral describes it as "RNase P RNA component class A". It matches the Rfam family "Bacterial RNase P class A". Rfam says of the family: Ribonuclease P (RNase P) is a ubiquitous endoribonuclease, found in archaea, bacteria and eukarya as well as chloroplasts and mitochondria. The record is from RNAcentral. Lineage: Bacteria; Pseudomonadati; Pseudomonadota; Alphaproteobacteria; Sphingomonadales; Erythrobacteraceae.